Molecule: transfer RNA, 72 nt
Filed under: Bos taurus (domestic cattle)
Lineage: Eukaryota; Metazoa; Chordata; Mammalia; Artiodactyla; Bovidae
Also listed under: 5 other names
Rfam family: tRNA
About the family: Transfer RNA (tRNA) molecules are approximately 80 nucleotides in length. Their secondary structure includes four short double-helical elements and three loops (D, anti-codon, and T loops). Further hydrogen bonds mediate the characteristic L-shaped molecular structure. tRNAs have two regions of fundamental functional importance: the anti-codon, which is responsible for specific mRNA codon recognition, and the 3' end, to which the tRNAs corresponding amino acid is attached (by aminoacyl-tRNA synthetases). tRNAs cope with the degeneracy of the genetic code in two manners: having more than one tRNA (with a specific anti-codon) for a particular amino acid; and 'wobble' base-pairing, i.e. permitting non-standard base-pairing at the 3rd anti-codon position.
Source: Rfam by way of RNAcentral
UCCCCAGUAGCUCAGUUGGUAAAGAAUCCACCUGCAAUGCAGGAGACCCAGGUUCAAUUCCUGGGUAGGGAA